Molecule: non-coding RNA, 108 nt
Organism: Acanthosepion pharaonis
Lineage: Eukaryota; Metazoa; Mollusca; Cephalopoda; Sepiida; Sepiidae
Source: the annotation of a GenBank genome assembly
AUACGGCCAUGUCAUGUUGAAACUUCGGUUCUCGUCCGAUAACCAAACUUAAGCAACGUCAAGCCUGGUCAGUACCUAGAUGGGUGACCGCCUGGGAAUACCCGGGGU